UGGAGAAACGGUUUGGAGAAAAAAUAACCGAUGCCAAAUCGUCUCUCUCUAAGAAACCUAAUCGACCUCAUCUUCAACGUUACUUCACUUCAUCUUCCUUCCCGUAACUGUGAAUCAUCAAUCAUCAUGAUGAGAGUAUACGGAUCGCUAAGGUAAUCAAUUGUAUUGAAUUGCACCAGCAAUCGUUCUCUUCUCCUCUCUAACAAAAGCAUCCCCAUCAUGAAGAUAACUCACGGUGUUCAGAUCUAGGGUUCCGGCUCUUCCCUGUCUUCUCCGAACUCAGGUUUCUUAAAGCACCUCCAACUCUCAUCAGCUUUCAGAAAUUUCAAGAGAUUUGGUGAUGCUUUUCCUCUUCGGGUCUCGAAUUGCAACCCUGUAAAGACAAAUUACAGGAGAACAAUUGUACUGAGGAUAUUAAUAAGUGAUGAAGUGAUAUCUUGUGUGGGGAUUCAAUGAGAAUUUGGGGAUGUUUGGAUUUGGAUUUUCAACUCUUGCCCUGCUGUUUAUAACCCAAUGCCCAUAGCAAAUAAGGAUGAAGUCUGGCUUAUGCAGAUUGCUGGACAUAAGGACCUUCUAGAGGGUGAUCUUACUUAAAACAAAGAAUUAGAUUGCGAGAUUCGUCUAGCACAACCUUAAAUAUUUUUAAGCUUAUACCCUAAAGCGAGUGUGUGACCCAAACCAUCAAGGGAGGUAGCAUGACUCUUUGGGAGCUUUAGACGCUGGAGCGACUUUUGACAUGUAUCAGCAAGAGUUGAGAUGAAGUUAACUUGACUUGUUUUUACUUAACAGUGUAUCAGACUUGAAGGUGUUGUGAAAAAGUGCAGUUUCUUAUGCUCUCAACCACCAACUGAGCCUUGAUGAUUUAACUUAAAUAAUUGAUGAGGAAAAUAUAAAAGUCACAAUCGAAGCUUUCUUGAAUGCUCUUCAUGAAGUUAUUCCUGCUUUUGGUGCUUCAACAGACGAACUUGAACGUUGCAGUGGUAAGACUGCAAUGGCAGCAACUGUUGGUAUUGGUAGCGAUUUCUCCUAUGUGAAGAUUGUAAGUUCUUCUAUAUUUUAACUAUGGGACAAUUCCAUGAUAC
This 1082-nucleotide long non-coding RNA is filed under the name Helianthus annuus (common sunflower). The record is from RNAcentral. Lineage: Eukaryota; Viridiplantae; Streptophyta; Magnoliopsida; Asterales; Asteraceae.